UACGGAGGAUGCAAGCGUUAUCCGGAAUGAUUGGGCGUAAAGCGUCCGCAGGUGGCUGUGUAAGUCUGCUGUUAAAGAGUGAGGCUCAACCUCAUAAAAGCAGUGGAAACUACACGGCUAGAGUGCGUUCGGGGCAGAGGGAAUUCCUGGUGUAGCGGUGAAAUGCGUAGAUAUCAGGAAGAACACCGGUGGCGAAAGCGCUCUGCUAGGCCGCAACUGACACUGAGGGACGAAAGCUAGGGGAGCGAACAGG
RNAcentral lists this ribosomal RNA (253 nucleotides) under uncultured bacterium. Its description in RNAcentral is "partial 16S ribosomal RNA". It matches the Rfam family "Bacterial small subunit ribosomal RNA", at positions 524 to 776 of the family's 1533-position model. The record is from RNAcentral.